GACGAACGCUGGCGGCGUGCUUAACACAUGCAAGUCGAACGGAGUGGCGAACGGGUGAGUAACACGUGGGUGAUCUGCCUUGCACUUCGGGAUAAGCUUGGGAAACUGGGUCUAAUACCGGAUAGUGCAAGAUGAGUGCGCGGCCUAUCAGCUUGUGGGUGGGGUAAUGGCCUACGAAGGCGUCGCCGGGUAGCCGGCCUGAGAGGGUGUACGGCCACAUUGGGACUGAGGUACGGCCCAGACGCCUACGGGGGGCAGCGGGGGGGAAUAUUGCACAAUGGGCGGAAGCGGGAUGCAGCGACGCCGCGUGGGGGAAGAAGGCUUUCGGGUUGUAAACUCCUUUCGACAGGGACGCGGUACCUGUAUAAGAAGCACCGGCUAACUACGUGCCAGCAGCCGCGGUAAUUC
This 408-nucleotide ribosomal RNA is filed under the name uncultured bacterium. RNAcentral describes it as "partial 16S ribosomal RNA". It matches the Rfam family "Bacterial small subunit ribosomal RNA", at positions 28 to 526 of the family's 1533-position model. The record is from RNAcentral.